Molecule: ribosomal RNA, 495 nt
Filed under: uncultured bacterium
Lineage: Bacteria
Description: partial 16S ribosomal RNA
Rfam family: Bacterial small subunit ribosomal RNA
Source: RNAcentral
GACGAACGCUGGCGGCGUGCCUAAUACAUGCAAGUAGAACGCUGAAGGAGGAGCUUGCUUCUCCGGAUGAGUUGCGCACGGGUGAGUAACGCGUAGGUAACCUGCCUGGUAGCGGGGGAUAACUAUUGGAAACGAUAGCUAAUACCGCAUAACAGUAGAUAUCGCAUGAUAUCUGCUUGAAAGGUGCAAUUGCAUCACUACCAGAUGGAACUGCGUUGUAUUAGCUAGUUGGUGGGGUAACGGCUCACCAAGGCGACGAUACAUAGCCGACCUGAGAGGGUGAUCGACCACACUGGGACUGAGACACGGCCCAGACUCCUACGGGAGGCAGCAGUAGGGAAUCUUCGGCAAUGGACGGAAGUCUGACCGAGCAACGCCGCGUGAGUGGAGAAGGUUUUCGGAUCGUAAAGCUCUGUUGUAAGAGAAGAACGAGUGUGAGAGUGGAAAGUUCACACUGUGACGGUAUCUUACCAGAAAGGGACGGCUAACUACGUG